Long non-coding RNA from Triticum dicoccoides, 410 nucleotides. RefSeq lists it as uncharacterized. The record is from RefSeq and is a predicted model, not a curated record. NCBI's taxonomy places the organism in Eukaryota, Viridiplantae, Streptophyta, Magnoliopsida, Poales, Poaceae. The transcript has 3 exons.
UGGUUACGUACUAAAUUAUUGUUGAGGAUCUCAGGUAAUCAUUGCAGUUGAAGAUUACGCCCCUGAUCAUCAUUCUCAUUUUCAAACUUGCCAUUUAUCAGAGGUUUUGGAUGGGGUGCAUUCAUGCAUUAUAUUGGAGCAAGGACCUGCCGAGGAGGGGGAUACCAUGAGGAGGCGAACCUGGUAAAAUAGGGGUGGAAAGUAUACUAUAGGAAAGACUGUGGGGUUUGUGUAUCCUUAUCCAGGACAUUGUGAAGGCUUCUGAUGCAGUUUACAAGAAGCAAUUGGUGAGCUAAUUCAGAGGUUAGGCAACGCUUGUCAUGAUUUUUUAUUUCUGAAGCCACAUUAGCAAGCAUCAUAAAUAUAACUAAAUGAUUGCUGGCUUCCGUAAUUGCCUACAUCAAUGUAAU